AUGACAGACAAUACAUCAGCAGCUAGUUCAUCGGAAGGAGGACACGAAGAGCCACAGAUGGACCGACGACUCCUGAAAGCAGCCGCAUCUGGUGAUUCCACAUCAAUGGAGGAGAUGGCUUCGCAAGAUCAAAGCAUUCUUCUUGGAAAAACUCUGCAAGGGAACACCUGCCUCCACAUAUCCUCCAUCCAUGGUCACCAGGUGUUUUGCACGGAUGUGGUGGCACUGGAGGAAUCACUCCUUGCCACUGUAAAUUUGGAUGGGGAGACGCCUCUUCUCACUGCCAUUACACGUGGCUGGGUCUCAUUGACUUCUGUCUUACUCCGAUGCUACCGCUCACGGCGGUUGAGUGAGGCAAUCUUGCAACAAGACACGCAUGGAUGCAAUGCACUGCACCAUGCCAUUCGCAGCGGCCACAGGGAGCUUGCGCUGGAGUUGAUAGCAGCAGAGCCUGACCUGUCGAAGCAUGUGACCAAGUUCAAUGACUCACCCAUGUACAUCGCGGCAAAGAGAAAUUUUACAGAUGUUUUUGAGGAACUCUUGAAUGUUCCAGAUUCUAGUCAUGCGGGACGGUGUGACAACAAUGCUUUGCAUGCUGCAGCUACAAACGGGAAUGGAGACAUUGCUACAAAAAUUAUGAGGAUGCGACCUGAAAUGGCCAGAGCAGCUAACAAGUACGGCAAUACACCAGCAAGAUUGGUUGUCCUUUAUAACAAGGUUGACAUGCUACGAGUAUUGCUAGAACAUGAUUGUUCUUUAGGGUAUGAAAUGAGCACAAAAGGUUUUCCCCUGCUUCAUGCUGCCGCAUAUCGAGGUCAUAUUGAUGUUGCUGGAGAGAUUCUUAAACAUUGUCCUGAUGCUCCUUAUUGUCAAGUAGAUAACCAGGAUGGUUGGACACUCCUACAUACAACUAUAAUUAACAAUCAUGCAGAGUUCACCGAAUUUAUCCUGAGGACACCGCAGCUUCGCAAAGUCAUUAACAUGCAAGACAACCAAGGAAAAACCCCUCUACAUUAUGCAGUCCAAAGUUGCAAUCCUAAAAUAGUCGCUGCCUUACUGUCUCACGAGGAUAUAGAUGUAACAAUGAUCGACAACAAUGGUGAUCCAGCAACUUGGGAACUGUGGAAGGUCAUACAGAAUGCCAAAACUUUAAACUGGAAUGAAGUGUGCAUGCUUAUGCUAAAAGCGAAUCCUCAACAUACUGGAUCUAUUUAUAAUCUUCAUCGGAAAGCCAAGCAAGAGGCGACUAAUGCAUCAAGGAAGGAUGCAAAAUCACUAACUCAAAUAUACACAACCAACACUUCGUUAGUAGCAAUCCUCAUUACGACAAUCGCCUUUGCUGCCGCGUUCACCCUACCUGGAGGAUACAGCAAUGGCGCUGGAAGCGAAGGACUUCCCGUCAUGUCUCGCAAGGUUGCAUUUCAGGCAUUCUUGAUCUCUGACACCUUAGCAAUGUGCUCUUCAUUUGCUGUCGCCUUCAUAUGCAUCAUGGCAAGGUGGGAGGAUUACGAGUUCUUGGUUUACUAUAGAUCAUUUACUAAGAAGCUCAUGUGGUUUGCAUAUGUGGCAACUACCACAGCCUUUUCAACUGGUUUAUAUACGGUGUUGCCCCGACAUCUCCACUGGUUGGCCAUUGCAAUUUGCAUUACAGUAGCUUUGUUGCCCAUUCUCACGAAGCUGCUGGGCGAAUGGCCUGUCUUGAGUCUUAGAUUUCGGCUGGGAAAAACUUUCAACUCUGAUCUCCUUGACAUUGUGUGA
Molecule: ribosomal RNA, 1758 nt
Filed under: Triticum aestivum (bread wheat)
Lineage: Eukaryota; Viridiplantae; Streptophyta; Magnoliopsida; Poales; Poaceae
Description: partial small subunit ribosomal RNA
Source: RNAcentral